Molecule: small nucleolar RNA, 65 nt
Organism: Xyrauchen texanus (razorback sucker)
Lineage: Eukaryota; Metazoa; Chordata; Actinopteri; Cypriniformes; Catostomidae
Product: small nucleolar RNA SNORD58
Exons: 1
Source: RefSeq, a predicted model, not a curated record
CUGUAAUGAUGACAACUUAGGACACCUUUGAAUUAAUAAUGAAAAGAACUGAAAUUCUGAGCAGC